This 233-nucleotide ribosomal RNA is filed under the name uncultured Alphaproteobacteria bacterium. RNAcentral describes it as "partial 16S ribosomal RNA". It matches the Rfam family "Bacterial small subunit ribosomal RNA", at positions 29 to 288 of the family's 1533-position model. The record is from RNAcentral. Lineage: Bacteria; Pseudomonadati; Pseudomonadota; Alphaproteobacteria.
AACGAACGCUGGCGGCAGGCUUAACACAUGCAAGUCGAACGCAUCCUUCGGGAUGAGUGGCAGACGGGUGAGUAACGCGUGGGAACGUGCCCAGAGGUACGGACUAACAACGGGAACUGUUGCGUAAUGCCCGUAUACGCCCUUAGGGGGAAGAUUUAUCGCCUUUGGAUCGGCCCGCGGUUGGAUUAGGUAGUUGGGGAGGUAAUGGCUCACCAAGCCGACGAUCCAUAGCU